UACGAAGGGGGCUAGCGUUGCUCGGAAUUACUGGGCGUAAAGGGCGCGUAGGCGGCCCGCUAAGUCGAACGUGAAAUCCCCGGGCUCAACCCGGGAACUGCGUCCGAUACUGGCGGGCUUGAAUCCGGGAGAGGGAUGCGGAAUUCCAGGUGUAGCGGUGAAAUGCGUAGAUAUCGGGAGGAACACCAGCGGCGAAGGCGGCACUCUGGGCCGACACUGACGCUGAGGAGCGAAAAGCGUGGGGGAGCGAACAGG
This 255-nucleotide ribosomal RNA is filed under the name uncultured bacterium. RNAcentral's name for it is "partial 16S ribosomal RNA". It matches the Rfam family "Bacterial small subunit ribosomal RNA", at positions 524 to 776 of the family's 1533-position model. The record is from RNAcentral.